CCCGCUGAACUUAAGCAUAUCAAUAAGCGGAGGAAAAGAAACUAACAAGGAUUCCCCUAGUAACUGCGAGUGAAGCGGGAAGAGCUCAAAUUUAAAAUCUGGCAGCCCUUGUGGUUGUCCGAGUUGUAAUCUAGAGAAGUGCUAUCCGCGCUGGACCGUGUACAAGUCUCCUGGAAUGGAGCGUCACAGAGGGUGAGAAUCCCGUCUUUGACACGGACCCCCAGGGCUUAUGUGAUGCGCUCUCAAAGAGUCGAGUUGUUUGGGAAUGCAGCUCUAAAUGGGUGGUAAAUUCCAUCUAAAGCUAAAUAUUGGCGAGAGACCGAUAGCGAACAAGUACCGUGAGGGAAAGAUGAAAAGAACUUUGGAAAGAGAGUUAAACAGUACGUGAAAUUGUUGAAAGGGAAACGCUUGAAGUCAAGUCGCGUCGGCUUGGGAUCAGCCUGGCAACUGCCAGGUGCACUCCCUGGUCGACGGGUCAGCACCAGUUUCGACCGUUGGAAAAAGGUCGGGGGAAUGUGGCAUCCUCGGAUGUGCUUAUAGCCCUCGAUCGGAUGCAUCGGUUGGGAUUGAGGAACUCAGCGUGCCGCGAGGGCCGGGUUUCAAACCACGUCCGCGCUCAGGAUGCUGGCAGAAUGGCUUUAAUCGACCCGUCUUGAAACACGG
This 663-nucleotide ribosomal RNA is filed under the name uncultured fungus. RNAcentral describes it as "eukaryotic LSU rRNA". It matches the Rfam family "Eukaryotic large subunit ribosomal RNA", at positions 24 to 664 of the family's 3401-position model. Lineage: Eukaryota; Fungi. The record is from RNAcentral.